GUGCUUGCUCUGGCAGCACAUAUACUGGAAUUGGAACAAUACAGAGAAAAUUAGCAUGGCUCCUGUGCAAAGAUGACAUGCAAAUUUGUGAAGCAUCCCAUUAAAAA
Molecule: small nuclear RNA, 107 nt
Organism: Otolemur garnettii (small-eared galago)
Lineage: Eukaryota; Metazoa; Chordata; Mammalia; Primates; Galagidae
Source: Ensembl